RNAcentral lists this ribosomal RNA (1489 nucleotides) under uncultured bacterium. RNAcentral's name for it is "partial 16S ribosomal RNA". It matches the Rfam family "Bacterial small subunit ribosomal RNA". The record is from RNAcentral.
GCCUGGCUCAGAUUUGACGCUGGCGGCAGGCCUAACACAUGCAAGUCGAGCGGAUGAAGGGAGCUUGCUCCUGGAUUCAGCGGCGGACGGGUGAGUAAUGCCUAGGAAUCUGCCUGGUAGUGGGGGAUAACGUCCGGAAACGGGCGCUAAUACCGCAUACGUCCUGAGGGAGAAAGUGGGGGAUCUUCGGACCUCACGCUAUCAGAUGAGCCUAGGUCGGAUUAGCUAGUUGGUGGGGUAAAGGCCUACCAAGGCGACGAUCCGUAACUGGUCUGAGAGGAUGAUCAGUCACACUGGAACUGAGACACGGUCCAGACUCCUACGGGAGGCAGCAGUGGGGAAUAUUGGACAAUGGGCGAAAGCCUGAUCCAGCCAUGCCGCGUGUGUGAAGAAGGUCUUCGGAUUGUAAAGCACUUUAAGUUGGGAGGAAGGGCAGUAAGUUAAUACCUUGCUGUUUUGACGUUACCAACAGAAUAAGCACCGGCUAACUUCGUGCCAGCAGCCGCGGUAAUACGAAGGGUGCAAGCGUUAAUCGGAAUUACUGGGCGUAAAGCGCGCGUAGGUGGUUCAGCAAGUUGGAUGUGAAAUCCCCGGGCUCAACCUGGAACUGCAUCCAAAACUACUGAGCUAGAGUACGGUAGAGGGUGGUGGAAUUUCCUGUGUAGCGGUGAAAUGCGUAGAUAUAGGAAGGAACACCAGUGGCGAAGGCGACCACCUGGACUGAUACUGACACUGAGGUGCGAAAGCGUGGGGAGCAGACAGGAUUAGAUACCCUGGUAGUCCACGCCGUAAACGAUGUCGACUAGCCGUUGGGAUCCUUGAGAUCUUAGUGGCGCAGCUAACGCGAUAAGUCGACCGCCUGGGGAGUACGGCCGCAAGGUUAAAACUCAAAUGAAUUGACGGGGGCCCGCACAAGCGGUGGAGCAUGUGGUUUAAUUCGAAGCAACGCGAAGAACCUUACCUGGCCUUGACAUGCUGAGAACUUUCCAGAGAUGGAUUGGUGCCUUCGGGAACUCAGACACAGGUGCUGCAUGGCUGUCGUCAGCUCGUGUCGUGAGAUGUUGGGUUAAGUCCCGUAACGAGCGCAACCCUUGUCCUUAGUUACCAGCACCUCGGGUGGGCACUCUAAGGAGACUGCCGGUGACAAACCGGAGGAAGGUGGGGAUGACGUCAAGUCAUCAUGGCCCUUACGGCCAGGGCUACACACGUGCUACAAUGGUCGGUACAAAGGGUUGCCAAGCCGCGAGGUGGAGCUAAUCCCAUAAAACCGAUCGUAGUCCGGAUCGCAGUCUGCAACUCGACUGCGUGAAGUCGGAAUCGCUAGUAAUCGUGAAUCAGAAUGUCACGGUGAAUACGUUCCCGGGCCUUGUACACACCGCCCGUCACACCAUGGGAGUGGGUUGCUCCAGAAGUAGCUAGUCUAACCGCAAGGGGGACGGUUACCACGGAGUGAUUCAUGACUGGGGUGAAGUCGUAACAAGGUAGCCGU